Molecule: long non-coding RNA, 454 nt
Filed under: Theobroma cacao (cacao)
Lineage: Eukaryota; Viridiplantae; Streptophyta; Magnoliopsida; Malvales; Malvaceae
Description: long non-coding RNA (TCAC_LNC005164)
Source: RNAcentral
UUCGACCACAUUGGUUUUGGAUAUAUACAUCCAUCACACAACCAUACAAGUUAAGGACCUCUCUUAUUGCAUUCCAAGGGACCCUGACACUCAAAUUAUCCACAAAAUCCGUGAAUGGUUUAUCUUUCCAACUCCAAUUGUUCCUAAGGUCCAUCCCUUUCUUUCUCUCUCUCUCUACUUCAAUCCUUGAUCAAGAUGUAUACAACAACCAAGUGUCAACUAAAUACCCAAAAAAAUGAAAGUAUUAAUUUCCCCAUAAUUCUUUUUACUACAAUAUUACAAUUCUUUUUAAUAGAAUACUACAAUUAUCCAAUCACAAUAAAAAAUUAUCUGAAAGUCAGUCACUUGGGAUAUCUUGAACACAUAAAAAUAAUAAGGCCACUCCAUUUAAGUAAUUAAUUUUGGUUUGAAUAUAUGUUUUAAAAAUUAAACAUGAUCUCAGAGCAAGAGUUAC